UCUCUUCACCCUUUUAAUAUCAUCUUCUUCAUUUCUCUCGACCUUUUCACCAUUUCUCAUCUUCUUCUUCCUGUUCCCCAUCUUUCAUAGAUAACAUCGCUUCUUACACACUUUCUUAUCUUUGAUUUUGAUUUCUCUGGUAACCAUCGACUUUUCCGAUGAUGAAUGGGCGGUAUAGAGCUUCCAACAGACGAGUCCGGCCUCUAUCCCGUUUCUUGUCUUGUGUCGUGUCGACACGGGUAUGUUGACCGGAAUAGGCGAGUCGGAGUAACACAGCUAAGCAAUGAAGAAAGUGCUUCAAAACUUGUGAAGAAAAUUCUCAAGCUCUCUAAAUAUUUCCUGCAGUAGAUUCCCGAGGAAUUGAUCGGCGGUGCUGCAUAUUCAUGUGAUGGCCAGUCCAUAGAUGCGUGCUUUCUUAACAGGCACAUUGUUUUCUUGGACUCGGCAUCAUUGACCAUAAAGUUUGUUAUCAAUCCGAGUGCAUAUUUACCUUUUAAUCAAAGCCGGGUGAUGUAUGCUUCUCCUCUUGCGGCUAAUCCUACAAAACACAAUCAGUUUGCUCUCGGGCUUAGUGAUGGUGGCCUACUAGUUAUAGAAGAAGAGGAUAUUGGGAUUGCUUUGUAGAAUGCCUUAGCUUGAGACCAGCAACAACUGAGAACUUGAUAUGAGCUUUUGUGAUAAUCAGAGCCCAGUGACUCUUGAAAUCUAUAUGUUUUAAAACAUACAUCUAGGGAUUGAAUUAGUGCAAGGGUUUUGAAGGUGUUGUCUUACUUGACUAUGUUAAGUGGUAAAUUUUCAAUGCAAAUAUACACGUACAUGUAGAAAUUGAAAUGAGAACCGUCAACAGAGUAUAAAAAUAAGAAAAGAAACCAAUAUUUUGGCAUAUACAAUGUUCCACUUACAGAGCAGGUAACUUUCUAUGCAAAUAUACAUGUAGCAAAAUCAUCCGAUGGCCAGUCCAUAUAUGCCUGCUUUUUUAACAGGCACAUUGUUUUCUUGGACUCGGCAUCAUUUACCCUCUUGACUGGAAGUUGCCUUCUGCAUUAUUUCUACAGCCAGGUGAUGUAUGCUUCUACUCUUGCGGCUAAUCCUAUGAAACACAAUCAGGUUGCUCCCGGGCUUAGUGAUGGUGGCGCACUGGUUAUAGAAGAAGAGGAUAUUGGGAUUUGGCUUUGUAGCACGCCUUAGCUUGAGACCAGCAACAACUGAGAACUUGAUACGAGCUUUUGUGAUAAUCAGAGCCCAAUGUCUCUUGAAAUCUAUAUCUUUUAAAACAUACAUCUAGGGAUUGGAUUAGUGCAAGGGUUCUGAAGGUGUUUUUUUGCCUGACUGAGUUAAGUGAUAAAUUUUCAAUACAAAUAUACACCUACGGGUAGAAAUUGAAUUGAGAACUGACUAUGAAAAUAAGA
Daucus carota subsp. sativus is the source of this 1409-nucleotide RNA transcript. It is a transcript of the gene named topless-related protein 4-like, with no coding region annotated. The transcript is spliced from 3 exons. The record is from RefSeq and is a predicted model, not a curated record. NCBI's taxonomy places the organism in Eukaryota, Viridiplantae, Streptophyta, Magnoliopsida, Apiales, Apiaceae.